This 492-nucleotide long non-coding RNA is filed under the name Zea mays. RNAcentral describes it as "drought responsive lncRNA". Lineage: Eukaryota; Viridiplantae; Streptophyta; Magnoliopsida; Poales; Poaceae. The record is from RNAcentral.
ACCAGCUGAUGCAAUUGAUAGAUUUUCCAAAUUAAGGCAGGUAGGAUACAAACCUUUAUAACACUUUCGUUUCUUUUGUACCCUACAUGGUAAAAAAAAUACAUUGACAGAUACUUGGACGCCAAGCUUGACAAAAAAGAAUGCAGACAAAAAGAAUACAGGGCAAUGAAGAAAGAAGAGUGAAAACAGGACCGUCGCCACGGUCAGGAAACAUAAACCCUGGCACGGAUUUUACAAUUUGUACCAUAUACAGGAAUACAAACCUUUGGCAGCCCAAAUUGCUUAAAAAGAACUAGGCUAAGUAAUGUACUAAGGCAGCGACUAAACUGACCAAAUUUGGAUUCUCCAAAUCUAUAGGUUCCUAGCAACUUGUCGCUAUAAUUGUCCAUUAAGUCAUCAUGGUUAGGUUUUGCUCUUGAACUUACGCUGUGCUUUCAGGUCAACUACAACGACAGUGAUGUUGUCUUUGCUCCCCUUCUGAAGAGCAAGCUU